This 554-nucleotide ribosomal RNA is filed under the name Alternaria alternata. Its description in RNAcentral is "eukaryotic LSU rRNA". The stretch from base 200 to 353 matches the Rfam family "5.8S ribosomal RNA". The record is from RNAcentral. Lineage: Eukaryota; Fungi; Ascomycota; Dothideomycetes; Pleosporales; Pleosporaceae.
AAAGGCUCUCGUAGUGACCUGCGGAGGGACAUUACACAAAUAUGAAGGCGGGCUGGAACCUCUCGGGGUUACAGCCUUGCUGAAUUAUUCACCCUUGUCUUUUGCGUACUUCUUGUUUCCUUGGUGGGUUCGCCCACCACUAGGACAAACAUAAACCUUUUGUAAUUGCAAUCAGCGUCAGUAACAAAUUAAUAAUUACAACUUUCAACAACGGAUCUCUUGGUUCUGGCAUCGAUGAAGAACGCAGCGAAAUGCGAUAAGUAGUGUGAAUUGCAGAAUUCAGUGAAUCAUCGAAUCUUUGAACGCACAUUGCGCCCUUUGGUAUUCCAAAGGGCAUGCCUGUUCGAGCGUCAUUUGUACCCUCAAGCUUUGCUUGGUGUUGGGCGUCUUGUCUCUAGCUUUGCUGGAGACUCGCCUUAAAGUAAUUGGCAGCCGGCCUACUGGUUUCGGAGCGCAGCACAAGUCGCACUCUCUAUCAGCAAAGGUCUAGCAUCCAUUAAGCCUUUUUUUCAACUUUUGACCUCGGAUCAGGUAGGGAUACCCGCUGAACUUAA